RNAcentral lists this ribosomal RNA (456 nucleotides) under Triticum aestivum (bread wheat). RNAcentral's name for it is "partial small subunit ribosomal RNA". The record is from RNAcentral. Lineage: Eukaryota; Viridiplantae; Streptophyta; Magnoliopsida; Poales; Poaceae.
AUGCCGCCAAAAGGAGAUUAUCCUGUAAUUGAGAAACUUUUGGACCAAGAGGAAAUCUUUUGGUUACAAAGAGGGCGUGCGAAUUGGUUGGUGCAUGGGGAUCGAAAUGAUUUGGGAGUUUGGAGGGAAGAUAAGGAGUUGAAGGACCAUAUCAUUGAUUAUUUAUCAAAACUCUUCACAUCGGAAGUACAACAACCAAACCAAGAGGUUUUGUCCCUUGUUCGUAGGAGAGUUUCUUCUGAGAUGAACAACACUCUCCUAGCCCCGUAUACGGCCGAAGACUUUUGUAAGGCGUUGUUUGAUAUCGGGGAUCUAAAAGCCCCAGGCCCAGAUGGAUUACAUGCUAUCUUCUAUAAAAUAUUCUGGCCCAUGCUAGGGGAUGAUCUGGUUGAGGAGGUCCUACAAGCAAUCAAUACAUGUACCACCCCAGAUGGCUGGAACGAUACUACAAUGUGA